CCUGAACGCUGGCGGCGUGGUUAAGACAUGCAAGUCGCACGGUGUAGCGAAUACACAGUGGCGCAAGGGUGAGUAAUGUAUCGCUAAUGUACCCCGGACUCUGGGAUAGCUACUCGAAAGGGUGGUAAUACCAGAUAAUAUAACUUGGUCGCAUGAUCGAGUUCUCAAAGGUCCGCGGUCUGGGAGCAGGCGAUAUCGUAUCAGCUAGUUGGUGAGGAACGGCUCACCAAGGCGACGACGCGUAGCCGGACUGAGAGGUCGGUCGGCCACACCGGGACUGAGACACUGCCCGGACU
Molecule: ribosomal RNA, 296 nt
Filed under: uncultured bacterium
Lineage: Bacteria
Description: partial 16S ribosomal RNA
Rfam family: Bacterial small subunit ribosomal RNA
Source: RNAcentral